RNAcentral lists this ribosomal RNA (468 nucleotides) under uncultured bacterium. Its description in RNAcentral is "partial 16S ribosomal RNA". It matches the Rfam family "Bacterial small subunit ribosomal RNA", at positions 28 to 507 of the family's 1533-position model. The record is from RNAcentral.
GACGAACGCUGGCGGCGUGCUUAACACAUGCAAGUCGAACGGAAAGGCCCUGCUUUUGUGGGGUGCUCGAGUGGCGAACGGGUGAGUAACACGUGAGUAACCUGCCCUUGACUUUGGGAUAACUUCAGGAAACUGGGGCUAAUACCGGAUAGGAGCUCCUGCUGCAUGGUGGGGGUUGGAAAGUUUCGGCGGUUGGGGAUGGACUCGCGGCUUAUCAGCUUGUUGGUGGGGUAGUGGCUUACCAAGGCUUUGACGGGUAGCCGGCCUGAGAGGGUGACCGGCCACAUUGGGACUGAGAUACGGCCCAGACUCCUACGGGAGGCAGCAGUGGGGAAUAUUGCACAAUGGGCGGAAGCCUGAUGCAGCAACGCCGCGUGCGGGAUGACGGCCUUCGGGUUUUAAACCGCUUUCGCCUGUGACGAAGCGUGAGUGACGGUAAUUGGUAAAGAAGCACCGGCUAACUACGUG